UAAGGAAUAUUGGUCAAUGGACGCAAGUCUGAACCAGCCAUGCCGCGUGAAGGAUGAAGGUCCUUUGGAUUGUAAACUUCUUUUAUCUGGGACGAAAACGGGAUUUUUAUCUCAAUUGACGGUACCAGAGGAAUAAGCACCGGCUAACUCCGUGCCAGCAGCCGCGGUAAUACGGAGGGUGCGAGCGUUAUCCGGAUUUACUGGGUUUAAAGAGUGCGUAGGUGGGCUUAUAAGUCAGUGGUGAAAUCUCCGAGCUUAACUUGGAAACUGCCGUUGAUACUAUAGGUCUUGAAUUAUCUGGAUGUAAUCGGAAUAUGUAAUGUAGCGGUGAAAUGCUUAGAUAUAACAUAGAACACCAAUUGCGAAGGCAGCUUACUACAUAUAAAUUGACGCUGAGGCACGAAAGCGUGGGGAUCAAACA
RNAcentral lists this ribosomal RNA (421 nucleotides) under uncultured bacterium. RNAcentral describes it as "bacterial SSU rRNA". It matches the Rfam family "Bacterial small subunit ribosomal RNA", at positions 355 to 774 of the family's 1533-position model. The record is from RNAcentral.